UCCUUUGAGCUCACACAGUCCGUUCUGUGAACCCUCAUUGCAUGAUUUGCUGGAGGAUUAUGGCAGAGACGUCCAAUGCAAUCAUCAUGAUAGAGGAAGUGACUUGGAGCUCAGGGUGGGGGCGGCAGAGGGAGAGAGUCGAGCAGCCAGACCAUUGCCUCACUAGUGAAUGGCAGUGAUUCCAGUUCAUUCCUAGCUCAGAAAGCAACGUUUUGAGCCACAACUGUCACAACUCCAGCUGGUGUGCAGAGAAGCCAGGUUGAUGCCAUCUAUCAAAGUUGUCUCUUAGACCUCAGAGCCAGUUGAAGGGCUGAGAGAGGAUGUGGAAGCCAAUGGAACACAGCCAGCGCAGGAGGCAAGAUUUUGAAAUCUAUGGAACACCAAAUUGAACAACUAUCCACACAAAAAAUCACCUUCAUAUGAACCAAAAAUACAGUGAGUAAUCACAGUACCUGGUUUUAACUUCAUAUUACAGAAAGAGACACUGAAGAGAGUACAAAAGACAGUCUUGAAUUGCUGAUGCCACUAACCCCUUCCCCACCAGCAGCCGUGUGGAUCAGAGAGAGAACUGGUGUGCUUGGGGGAAGGAGAGUGCAGUGAUUGUGGGACUUUACAUUAGAACUCAGUGCUGCCUUGUCACAGUGGAAAGCAACCCUGGGCAGAACUCAGCUGGUGCCCCCAGAGGCAGCAUUUAGACCAGCUGUAGCCAGAGGGGAAUCACGAAGCUCACUAAGCUUAGUCUCACCAAGCUCAUUUGCAUGUGACAAAUAACACUGAGCUCAUAGUAAAACAGGGAGCAUAAUUAUCCAGCUUUCUAAAUGAACAGGUCAUUCUAUGAGUGUUAUCUGGUAUAGGUAAAGUGACUGGCCAGUGAAUCAGAAACUGAUUAACAUAUGGCUUAAGAGAUUUUGAUCUCUUAGCUAUAAGAUACACUAAUGAGAGUUUCCUGUGGCAAUAGUCCAAAAAUGUUCACCAUACCUCUUUCUUGGUAGUAAUCUGGGCAUUUUAUUACUGUGGCUUCUCUAGUAUAGUGGUUUUUAUUUUGUCCUUAUUUAUGUGAGUUGGGGUUUCAAAAUACUCUGAUUUAAAGAAAAAAAAGAGGGCAAGCAAGGUGGCUCACACCUGUAAU
RNAcentral lists this long non-coding RNA (1129 nucleotides) under Homo sapiens (human). RNAcentral describes it as "HSALNT0291637". The record is from RNAcentral. Lineage: Eukaryota; Metazoa; Chordata; Mammalia; Primates; Hominidae.